AUCAAAAGCCUGAAAAUCAAAGAGAUGGGUAGCCUCUUAUUCUUACAACGGAUGACCAGAAUUCUGAUAAUAUUUCAGGUUUCAAUUCUCUGGGUUUCAAUUGAUGUUCCACCUGCAGAGGCUAGAAUCCACAACUAUACGUGGGAGAUUUCAUACCAGUACAAGUUUCUUGACUGUUACAAGAAGCUAUCUAUUGCCAUUAAUGGAAUGACUCCAGGACCUGCAAUUGAUGCAGUGCAAGGUGAUACAAUUAUUGUCAAUGUUAUUAACAACUUGGUCAUGGAAAAUGUUGCCAUCCACUGGCAUGGGAUCCGCCAGAUUGGAACUCAAUGGAGUGAUGGAACAGAUGGAGUUACUCAAUGUGCUACAAUGCCUGGUGACACCUUCACCUACAAAUUUGUUGUCGACAGGGCUGGAACAUAUAUGUAUCAUUCGCAUUACGGAAUGCAAAGAGAAUCAGGGCUAUAUGGAAUAAUCCGUGUAUCACUUCCUAAUAGACAACCAGAGCC
Molecule: unclassified non-coding RNA, 509 nt
Filed under: Hevea brasiliensis (rubber tree)
Lineage: Eukaryota; Viridiplantae; Streptophyta; Magnoliopsida; Malpighiales; Euphorbiaceae
Source: RNAcentral